CUUAGCCUUGUUUUUCAUAGCUGCCUUGUCUUCUCCAUUUUUGACUAAAAUUCAACCUCCAACAAUCAAAGUUCAAUCUUUGUCCGCCCCAUUUCAAGCAAAAUAAGAACUUCUCUCAUCCGGUUUUGGUGUGUACAGAUGACCAAGAGACGAUCCUCCCAUUUUUACACUACAAGACUUGUCGGAUCUUUCUGCCUCAGUCGAGAUCUUACCAUUUCGUGCAAGAACUGAGCAAAUCACGUAAAUCCCUGCUACUAUUCCAACGUUCGGUUUCGAACGACUCUUUUGGCCACAAAUUCAAAAUCAAAAUCAAGAAUUCCCUCUAAAGAUGUUUUUUUCACCUAUAAAUACAUCCUAAAGUCAGCCGAGGAGACAUUCUGGAAUCUCGAAAAAAUUAUAUUUAUACUUUCAGUGUUUGGAUUGAUAAAUGAAGACAAAAAAUGCUUAUGUGAUCAUUCUGUUUUUAUAGUAGUAUUGGUUCUUGACCAAUGUGAUAUCAUUAUUUAGCUUACUUUAAUAUUCUGUUUGGGUCUAAUGGUUUAUUAGCAAUGAAUGCUAGCAUACUUGGCUAUCUUCUUGAGUAGAUAAUAUAUGUAGAACUAAGAGAUCCAUAUUUGUCUAAAGAAGUAGUUGCGUCUUCAUUUUUGAGUGGAUGCAGCAUCCAUGAAUGUUCAGAGUGUUGAUA
Molecule: long non-coding RNA, 685 nt
Filed under: Nicotiana benthamiana
Lineage: Eukaryota; Viridiplantae; Streptophyta; Magnoliopsida; Solanales; Solanaceae
Description: long non-coding RNA (NBEN_LNC004602)
Source: RNAcentral